GAUGAAGAACGUAGCGAAAUGCGAUAAGUAAUGUGAAUUGCAGAAUUCAGUGAAUCAUCGAAUCUUUGAACGCACCUUGCACCCUUUGGUAUUCCGAAGGGUACGCCCGUUUGAGUGUCAUUGUAAUCUCACUCCAAUAUCUUUUUGUUGUUGGAUGUGGACUUGGAUGUUGUUGUGUUCACGACUCGUCUGAAAUGCCUGAGUGUACCCUGCUUUGCAGCGUAUCAGUGUGAUAAACAUCUUCACUGUUAAGUCCUCUUGGACACGCUUUGUAUUGUGGGCUCUAUGCUUCCAACUGUCUCUUGGAGACAAUCCCUGACAAUUUGACCUCAAAUCGGGUGGGACUACCCGCUGAACUUAAGCAUAUCAAUAAGCGGAGGA
This 381-nucleotide unclassified non-coding RNA is filed under the name soil metagenome. RNAcentral's name for it is "partial contains 5.8S ribosomal RNA, internal transcribed spacer 2, and large subunit ribosomal RNA". The stretch from base 1 to 120 matches the Rfam family "5.8S ribosomal RNA", at positions 35 to 154 of the family's 154-position model. The record is from RNAcentral.